RNAcentral lists this ribosomal RNA (790 nucleotides) under Caballeronia sp. RNAcentral describes it as "bacterial SSU rRNA". It matches the Rfam family "Bacterial small subunit ribosomal RNA", at positions 15 to 799 of the family's 1533-position model. The record is from RNAcentral. Lineage: Bacteria; Pseudomonadati; Pseudomonadota; Betaproteobacteria; Burkholderiales; Burkholderiaceae.
AUUCAUGGCUCAGAUUGAACGCUGGCGGCAUGCCUUACACAUGCAAGUCGAACGGCAGCACGGGGGCAACCCUGGUGGCGAGUGGCGAACGGGUGAGUAAUACAUCGGAACGUGUCCUGUAGUGGGGGAUAGCCCGGCGAAAGCCGGAUUAAUACCGCAUACGAUCUACGGAAGAAAGCGGGGGAUCUUCGGACCUCGCGCUGCAGGGGCGGCCGAUGGCAGAUUAGCUAGUUGGUGGGGUAAAGGCCUACCAAGGCGACGAUCUGUAGCUGGUCUGAGAGGACGACCAGCCACACUGGGACUGAGACACGGCCCAGACUCCUACGGGAGGCAGCAGUGGGGAAUUUUGGACAAUGGGGGCAACCCUGAUCCAGCAAUGCCGCGUGUGUGAAGAAGGCCUUCGGGUUGUAAAGCACUUUUGUCCGGAAAGAAAACCAUCGCCCUAAUAUGGUGGUGGGAUGACGGUACCGGAAGAAUAAGCACCGGCUAAUUACGUGCCAGCAGCCGCGGUAAUACGUAGGGUGCGAGCGUUAAUCGGAAUUACUGGGCGUAAAGCGUGCGCAGGCGGUUUGUUAAGACCGAUGUGAAAUCCCCGGGUCUAACCUGGGAACUGCAUUGGUGACUGGCAGGCUUUGAGUAUGGCAGAGGGGGGUAGAAUUCCACGUGUAGCAGUGAAAUGCGUAGAGAUGUGGAGGAAUCCCGAUGGCGAAGGCAGCCCCCUGGGCCAAUACUGACGCUCAUGCACGAAAGCGUGGGGAGCAAACAGGAUUAGAUACCCUGGUAGUCCACG